This 565-nucleotide ribosomal RNA is filed under the name uncultured bacterium. Its description in RNAcentral is "bacterial SSU rRNA". It matches the Rfam family "Bacterial small subunit ribosomal RNA", at positions 57 to 617 of the family's 1533-position model. The record is from RNAcentral.
GCAGUCGAGCGGAACGAUGUAGCUUGCUACAGGCGUCGAGCGGCGGACGGGUGAGUAACGCGUAGGAACCUACCUAGUAGUUUGGGAUAGCCCAGAGAAAUUUGGAUUAAUACCGAAUACGCCCCACGGGGGAAAGCGGAGGAUCUUCGGACUUCGCGCUAUUAGAUGGGCCUGCGUAAGAUUAGCUUGUUGGUGAGGUAAUGGCUCACCAAGGCAACGAUCUUUAGCUGGUUUGAGAGGAUGAUCAGCCACACUGGGACUGAGACACGGCCCAGACUCCUACGGGAGGCAGCAGUGGGGAAUAUUGCACAAUGGGCGAAAGCCUGAUGCAGCCAUACCGCGUGUGUGAAGAAGGCUCUAGGGUUGUAAAGCACUUUCAGUAGGGAGGAAAGGUUGUAGAUUAAUACUCUGCAGCUGUGACGUUACCUACAGAAGAAGGACCGGCUAACUCCGUGCCAGCAGCCGCGGUAAUACGGAGGGUCCGAGCGUUAAUCGGAAUUACUGGGCGUAAAGCGUACGUAGGUGGUUUGUUAAGUUGGAUGUGAAAGCCCAGGGCUCAACCUUG